This 520-nucleotide ribosomal RNA is filed under the name uncultured Entrophospora. RNAcentral's name for it is "SSU rRNA". It matches the Rfam family "Eukaryotic small subunit ribosomal RNA", at positions 569 to 1085 of the family's 1831-position model. The record is from RNAcentral. Lineage: Eukaryota; Fungi; Glomeromycota; Glomeromycetes; Entrophosporales; Entrophosporaceae.
AGCAGCCGCGGUAAUUCCAGCUCCAAUAGCGUAUAUUAAAGUUGUUGCAGUUAAAAAGCUCGUAGUUGAAUUUCGGGAUUGACACAUCGGUCGUGCCUUAAGGGGUAUGAACUGGUGUAGUCAAUUUCUCACCUUCUGGAGAACCGCGAUGUCCUUAAUUGGGUGCCGCGAGGAACCAGGACCUUUACUUUGAAAAAUUAGAGUGUUUAAAGCAGGCAUUUUUGCUUGAAUACAUUAGCAUGGAAUAAUAAAAUAGGACGGCAUGAUUCUAUUUUGUUGGUUUCUAGGAUCACCGUAAUGAUUAAUAGGGAUAGUUGGGGGCAUUAGUAUUCAAUUGUCAGAGGUGAAAUUCUUGGAUUUAUUGAAGACUAACUACUGCGAAAGCAUUUGCCAAGGAUGCUUUCAUUAAUCAAGAACGAAAGUUAGGGGAUCGAAGACGAUCAGAUACCGUCGUAGUCUUAACCAUAAACUAUGCCGACUAGGAAUCAGACGAUGUUAAUUUUUAAUGACUCGUUUGGCU